RNAcentral lists this ribosomal RNA (433 nucleotides) under uncultured bacterium. RNAcentral's name for it is "partial 16S ribosomal RNA". It matches the Rfam family "Bacterial small subunit ribosomal RNA", at positions 29 to 507 of the family's 1533-position model. The record is from RNAcentral.
AACGAACGCUGGCGGCAUGCCUAACACAUGCAAGUCGAACGAGACCUUCGGGUCUAGUGGCGCACGGGUGCGUAACGCGUGGGAACCUGCCCUUAGGUUCGGAAUAACUCCCCGAAAGGGGUGCUAAUACCGGAUAAUGUCUUCGGACCAAAGAUUUAUCGCCUUUGGAUGGGCCCGCGUUGGAUUAGCUAGUUGGUAGGGUAAAAGCCUACCAAGGCGACGAUCCAUAGCUGGUCUGAGAGGAUGAUCAGCCACACUGGGACUGAGACACGGCCCAGACUCCUACGGGAGGCAGCAGGGGGGAAUAUUGGACAAUGGGCGAAAGCCUGAUCCAGCAAUGCCGCGUGAGUGAUGAAGGCCUUAGGGUUGUAAAGCUCUUUUACCCGGGAUGAUAAUGACGGUACCGGGAGAAUAAGCGCCGGCUAACUCCGUG